GCCCGGGUGCGCAUUGCUGGGCCGCCACCCACUGGCGACUCUCACUACUGCCGUCCGGCCUUUCAUCCUCUGCCAACGCCGUUUCCAAGAAGGGUUCUGCGGAGCCAGGGUGCUGGGGUCUAUGACUCAGAACCAUUGGUCGAGGACAGGGUCCCCACCUGUGUGACACUGUCCCUCCAUCCUGUCGUCUGCUCACAUUGAACCAGGAACCACCUCCCUGGCAGACCGUGCUGGAUUUGAAUUAUGAGGUUACAAAGCAGACUGCUGGAAGCACGUUCUACUCAGUGUUAGCCUGUAGUCCCUGCAAUCAGCUUGUGAGAAUCCUUUGAUUUGAUAAAGAAAAAUUGAGAGGGAGGGACAAUAUAAAGGGAGAGAGAGACAGAGAGACCUGCAGCACCAUUUUACCACUUGUGAAGCCUUCCUCCUGCAGGUGGGGACCAGGGACUUGAACCCCAGUCCAUGUGCAUGGUAAUACAUGCUGUUAACCAGGUGGGGACUGGAGGCUUGAAGCCAGGUCUUUGUGCAUGAUAACAUGUACACUCAUUGAGAUGCACCGUCACCUGGGCCCUCCAAGACUACAACCCUUCUGCUUCUGCUCUUUCCUUGGGGCCCUCACUCCUGUUCUGAUAACAGAACAGAGAGGUGGUGGUUGGAGAAGUUAAGGCCCAUGAUGAGACAAGGGGCUCAGGGACAAGGAAGGUGGAGGAGUAGGCCCUGUCUCACAGAAAGAAGGCAGGAAAGAAGGGAACGACAGUAGCUGGAGUUUUCAGGGGACACCCAUGGUCCUGGCGAGUGUCUCUGCAGAAUGAUUAAGUGGAAAUCUGCUUUCAAGAAGUCAAGAGUAAGUAGGGGGUGGGUAGGUGGCAGUGCACUGGUUUGAGCACACAUCACAAUAUGCAAGGACCUGGGUUCAAGCCCCAUCUCCAUCUUGGGUAGUGGUGGUGGGGGAAGCUCCACAACUGGUGAAACAAUACUUCA
This is a long non-coding RNA of Erinaceus europaeus (western European hedgehog), 978 nucleotides long. RefSeq lists it as uncharacterized. The transcript is spliced from 4 exons. Lineage: Eukaryota; Metazoa; Chordata; Mammalia; Eulipotyphla; Erinaceidae. The record is from RefSeq and is a predicted model, not a curated record.